This 76-nucleotide transfer RNA is filed under the name Bacillota bacterium. Its description in RNAcentral is "tRNA-Ala". It matches the Rfam family "tRNA". Rfam says of the family: Transfer RNA (tRNA) molecules are approximately 80 nucleotides in length. Their secondary structure includes four short double-helical elements and three loops (D, anti-codon, and T loops). The record is from RNAcentral. RNAcentral also lists the same sequence under 1 other name. Lineage: Bacteria; Bacillati; Bacillota.
GGGGGUGUAGCUCAGCUGGGAGAGCACCUGCCUUGCAAGCAGGGGGCCAGCGGUUCGAUCCCGCUCAUCUCCACCA